UUAACCAAUAAGAAUAAGAGAAAGUUUUACUGCGUUCCGAUUAUUGGUCAUGUGAUCUACAAAGAAACGUCAUCAUAACCAUCAUGGCAGACCACCCGGUCGAGAAUGAAAUAAAACAGAUUUUUAAACGACUUUUAGCAGUUCCCACUAAUAAGCAAUGCUUUGAUUGUGGUCACAGUAACCCAACCUGGGCUAGUGUAACUUAUGGUGUCUUCCUGUGCAUUGACUGCUCAGCUGUGCACAGGUCUCUUGGUGUCCAUGUCACCUUUAUACGUUCUACCCAGCUAGACACAAACUGGACAUGGCUGCAGCUGAGAGCCAUGCAAGUUGGAGGCAAUGCCAAUGCUAGAGCCUUUUUUCAACAACAUGGCUGCACUACAACAGAUGCCCAAAAGAAAUAUCACAGCAGGGCGGCUACUCUUUAUAGGGAUAAGCUUGUGUCUCUAGCACAGCAUGCGAUGAGACAGCAUGGUACUAAGCUGUUUAUUGAUGACCUGGAUAGAGCUAAAGGUGGAAAGCUUCACAUUGAAAGUCAUCAUGAAGUCACUUCACCAGAAAAAAAAGAAGUUGAUUUUUUCUCUGAACACACACAAGAUGCUGGUGAUGACUUUGCUUCCUACCCAGUAGAAGAGAAUGCCAGAUUGGGAGCCAAUACAGCCAACUCACAAGCCAAACCUGUGGUUAGAAAUGGUAAAGCAGAAGUGGAUCCAUCUAUUGGUCCCAACGUUGAAGCGGCACUUAGUACUUCCCCUUCUCAAGCCUUAAGUCAAGCAGAACAGAGGAAGGCAAUUAUUGGCUCCAAAAAACCAGCUGCAGCCAAAAAAGGGAAAGGGCUUGGUGCUCAGCGUGUACAAAAAGAUUUUGGUGCCAUUGAGAGCAGGGCUCAACAAGUUGAUAAAGAAAGGGAGGAGUUAGCUAAGAAUAUUGCUGUUGAGGAGGCCAAAACAAAAGAAGAGCAAGAGAAACAAAUGGCCAGUAUGAGGCUAGCUUAUCAGGACAUGAGCUUACAGAGGAAGAAAGAAGAAGAAAAACUGAUGAAGAAUGACCCCAAAAAAGCUGAACAAUUUGAAAGACUCGGAAUGGGGUUUGCGGGAAAUAAAGGAGUCAGUCAUUCUGCUCUGUCAGACAUGCAAGUAAUCAAUCAAGAAACUCCUAGUGGUGGUAACAGUAAUUCCACCAGGCGAGACUUUGAUGCUUAUGGAGAGAAACCCAGAAGUAAAAGAGAUUUUUUUGAUGACGAAUUUGAAAUUGUUUCCAGUUGGUCUUCCAAACGCACUGAAGACAGUAAUACUUCAAAGAAUGAUGAUUUUGGAGGCUGGGGCAGCAAGAAUAAAAGCGGAGGAUGGGAUAUAGAUAAAUUUGACGAUAAAUCAAAUACGUCCGAGACCAUUUCACAGAAAAACACAGACAGCUCUUUAUAUAACGAAGACAAAGAAAAUGAAAGAGAUGGAGAGAAUAGCAGUGUAGAUGAAACAUGGUCUAGCCGAAGCAGGAAAAAUCCCGACACUACUUCAUCCUCCUUUGACUCUGGUGAUAGUGCCCAAAAAAAAUUUGGCAGUGCCAAGGCCAUCUCAUCAGAUCAAUAUUUUGGGAACAGAGAAAAUGAUUUUGAAGUGAGGCAGAAUUUAAGUCGCCUGGAAGGUCAGUCUUCCAUUUCUAGCGAUGAUUUCUUUGGAGGGGGCAGUGGCGGCAGCAGCAGUUCUCGUCGACAGUACAGCAGCGCCACACCUGAUCUGCAGGACAUUAAGGAUGGGGUGAAGCAAGGAGUCACCAAAGUAGCUGGUAAAAUCUCCAGUCUGGCUAAUGGAGUUAUGUCCAGUUUACAGGAAUGGGGUGAUGACUUCUGACCAUAUUUUUAUGUGUGUGGGUCAGGUUUUUUUCUUGUCCAUAUACUGGGAGAAAAUCUGACCUGCUCCCCUCUGCAAGCUUGUAUACAAUGGAUCGCUAUGGAUGACCACAAGGUGUUAAGGACGCGGACAAUGUAUAUGACCAUAAUUUCCACCAAGUUCUUUAUGACCUCCAUUCUGACGGUCCAUGCUUUCAGUGUGUGGACAGACAGCUGGGCCAAUGGCGGGAGAAUAUGAUAAUUUAUAUUUGAUACACAUUGUGUUUUUGUUGUGUAUGAUGAGGAUGAAUGAUGGUGCCAGUUAUUUUCAUUACUUUAUUGAUUGUGAUACUGUAGACAAGAUAUUCUGUUAUUCAGUUGUCCUGCUUAGAUGAUUGGUGUUGACAAAAAUUUACAAUUUAAAAAAAAUAUGUUUUGAGACGCUCUCCACUUUGUUAUGAAAUAUGAAAAAUAAAAUGCUUGGAAGAAAUUGUGAAUCAAUUGAUCUUAUCCAAAACACAGAAAUUUAGGCAGGUAAAAAACUUCAUCGCAUUUUUAGAGUUGUUUUUUUUUGUAUUUGUACAUUAAACACUCUAAUUGGCUACAUAGUCUUAUAUAAAAAUUGAUGAUAAGACCUCUUUUAACAAUAAAAAGCUCUGUAUAUUUAUAAAUAGAACUGUAGUUUUAACAUUUUUAUUUUGUGCUAUUUAUAAAUGAUUAUUCUUUAAGAUGGUCACUUAAGAUUUGUUUGUUAGCACGCAUAUGUUAUUGUCCAGUCAGGUACCAUGUUUUUUUCAUGUUGUGUUAAGUUCAUCUCCAGUCAGGUCAUGUGUUAAUAUUCUUAAAUACAUUUGUUUAAUUCCAUUUUUUCCCCCCAGUUAUACUUUUAUGUAGUUUGACAUGAUGUUAGGCUGUCAGUGUUAGUGUUGAUCAGUUCUUUGGUUAAACAGAAAUCUGUGAGAGGCACAACUUGUUACUAAAAGUUAAUAUUCUUUUUAGGCUAAUACUUUAUAGAACUGAAUGAACAGUUUAUCAGAGGCGAAGCUUUUCUCAUGGAGAAUUCAUAAGACAUGCUGAAGUAAAUGUAUCCAAUGUACAGGAUUUGAACUGGAGCCUAGCUUCCAAAGCUUCCUUUUGUUAUUUUGUUUCCCCCUAGGAUGAACACUUAAUGAAUGAAAUGGGUGGGAGGGAGAUAAAUAGGAGAAAAACUUCUGGCUGUUGUGUAAAUGUAUGUCCACCUCCAUUGCAUGUUUCUACUAGUAAGCUUUAUUGUUUUUCUUGACUUUUUUUUUUUUGAUGUAUCUUAACGCUCCAAUGUACAGUAAAACUUAGCAAACGGAAGAGAAUUUCUCAUCAGCUCAACCAGGAUGAGGUUAAUUAAAAAUCUGCUAGUUGUUUUUGGGAAACAAAAAGCCAAGAGAACUUCACAAUGGCAAUAUCAUUUUUAGAGACUUUAUUUUUUGCCUGUUUUCAGAAAACUGAAUGCACUUAUGACUGAAGUGAAGAUGUAACAACUGCUAGACAUAACUUUGUUUGUUUUUUUUAAAACGAAAUGUAGAUUAUUUGGGGUGAUUUCCUUGUGUUAUGUGUAUUUCCUAUACAAAUGUUAUUUCCUUGGAGGGGUUUCUUUCAAUAAAAUGUACAGAUACACUU
This is an RNA transcript of Biomphalaria glabrata, 3478 nucleotides long. It is a transcript of the gene named ADP-ribosylation factor GTPase-activating protein 2, with no coding region annotated. The transcript has 15 exons. The record is from RefSeq and is a predicted model, not a curated record. Lineage: Eukaryota; Metazoa; Mollusca; Gastropoda; Planorbidae.